GUAUUGAUGAAGAGUCCCAAACUGACGAAACAGCUGUCCAGUAC
This 44-nucleotide non-coding RNA is filed under the name Trichobilharzia regenti. The record is from RNAcentral. Lineage: Eukaryota; Metazoa; Platyhelminthes; Trematoda; Strigeidida; Schistosomatidae.